This 95-nucleotide non-coding RNA is filed under the name Prevotella sp. RNAcentral's name for it is "TPP sequence". It matches the Rfam family "TPP riboswitch aptamer (THI element)". Rfam says of the family: Vitamin B(1) in its active form thiamin pyrophosphate (TPP) is an essential coenzyme that is synthesised by coupling of pyrimidine and thiazole moieties in bacteria. The previously detected thiamin-regulatory element, thi box was extended, resulting in a new, highly conserved RNA secondary structure, the THI element, which is widely distributed in eubacteria and also occurs in some archaea. Lineage: Bacteria; Pseudomonadati; Bacteroidota; Bacteroidia; Bacteroidales; Prevotellaceae. The record is from RNAcentral. RNAcentral also lists the same sequence under 1 other name.
GUGUGAGUUAAGGGGUGCCCGAUAUUUCGGGCUGAGAUGAGACCCUCUGACCUGAUCCAGACAAUGCUGGCGUAGGAAAAAAAGAAGGAUAAACA